CAUUUUUUAUCUUAUAUCAUAAACUUUAUGUUUUUUUGGAUAAUGGAACUGCUUGCGUAUAAAGAAAUUAGGCUUUUUAAUUAAGGUUUAAGAGUAAGUUGGCUUGUCAGAUUUAUUGUCUCGAUGCUAUUAAUAUGUUUUCUUAAGACAAAUUGUUUAUAGUAUUUUGAUAAAAAAAGUCAAUUGGGUAACACCAAUUGAAUCCAUCUAGCAAUAUGUUACACAUGUUACGACAUAAAAUCCCGACUCAAAAAUUUACAUCACAGGCUUGCCAGUGAUAUUUUUCUAGUACGUCAAACAAAACAUUUAAAAUAUGUCUUUAGAUUUUAAAUCUUUAAGCAUAAACGGUGAAUACCUCGACUCCUAAAUCGAUGAAGACCGUAGCAAACUGCGAUAAUUCACUUGAAUUGCAGCCUACUGGGAUAGUUGAAAUGUUGAACGCACAUGAUGACAUCGGUCCUUUCGGAUUAGGUGUUAUACUUGGGUGAGAGUGGUCCUGAUAGAAUCCCUUUUGGGUGUGUCUAUUGAACUUGAUUAGAUGGUGGUAAAAAGUGCGCGAGUGCAUAGCAGCUUCGUCCUAAUAAACUAUGCGAGGACCGCCCGAAAUGAGCCAAAUGUUAAUCAAGGGAGAUAGAUAACGCCUGAUUGGACGGUAUGCCUAGGGUAUCUUUCCGUCUGUUGCCCCGCAAGGGGGGGGCUUACUGGGUGACUUAGGCUACUAUGUUGUAAUUCUCUCGAUUUGUCACUGUCAUUCGGCUAGCAUUUAGAGGUUAACGUAAUCAAUAUACAUUGGUCACAAAAAACUUUUUAAUGGUGGAAGGUAAAUUUAAUGUCACUAAUAAUCGGUCCGUCAAAUUGGUUAAGUUAGAGGGCAUUAAGCGUGCUGAAAGCUAUUAGAAAGGAUCAAUUGUGUUGAUUCGACCUAUCUCUAAUAUGUUAGUCGGGUAUGUCCGGCAGUUUAGCGGCAGGGGGAACGGUGUACGCGCUGGGUUUCUGGCCACCGUUGCAGUAGCAGGUAAGAUCUGCGUAAUACUAGUACUUGUCCGAAAGA
Molecule: unclassified non-coding RNA, 1051 nt
Filed under: Dictyostelium discoideum
Lineage: Eukaryota; Evosea; Eumycetozoa; Dictyosteliales; Dictyosteliaceae
Description: partial contains 18S rRNA, ITS1, 5.8S rRNA, ITS2 and 26S rRNA
Rfam family: 5.8S ribosomal RNA (bases 337-494)
Source: RNAcentral